GACGAACGCUGGCGGCGUGCUUAACACAUGCAAGUCGAACGGAAAGGCCCUGCUUUUGUGGGGUGCUCGAGUGGCGAACGGGUGAGUAACACGUGAGUAACCUGCCCUUGACUUUGGGAUAACUUCAGGAAACUGGGGCUAAUACCGGAUAGGAGCUCCUGCUGCAUGGUGGGGGUUGGAAAGUUUCGGCGGUUGGGGAUGGACUCGCGGCUUAUCAGCUUGUUGGUGGGGUAGUGGCUUACCAAGGCUUUGACGGGUAGCCGGCCUGAGAGGGUGACCGGCCACAUUGGGACUGAGAUACGGCCCAGACUCCUACGGGAGGCAGCAGUGGGGAAUAGUGCACAAGGGGCGGAAGGCUGAUGCAGCAACGCCGCGUGCGGGAUGACGGCCUUCGGGUUGUAAACCGCUUUCGCCUGUGACGAAGCGUGAGUGACGGUAAUGGGUAAAGAAGCACCGGCUAACUACGUG
RNAcentral lists this ribosomal RNA (468 nucleotides) under uncultured bacterium. RNAcentral's name for it is "partial 16S ribosomal RNA". It matches the Rfam family "Bacterial small subunit ribosomal RNA", at positions 28 to 507 of the family's 1533-position model. The record is from RNAcentral.